ACCCGCUGAACUUAAGCAUAUCAAUAAGCGGAGGAAAAGAAACCAACAGGGAUUGCUCUAGUAACGGCGAGUGAAGCAGCAAUAGCUCAAAUUUGAAAUCUGGCGUCUUCGACGUCCGAGUUGUAAUUUGUAGAGGAUGCUUCUGAGUGGCCACCGACCUAAGUUCCUUGGAACAGGACGUCAUAGAGGGUGAGAAUCCCGUAUGCGGUCGGAAAGGCGCUCUAUACGUAGCUCCUUCGACGAGUCGAGUUGUUUGGGAAUGCAGCUCUAAAUGGGAGGUAAAUUUCUUCUAAAGCUAAAUAUUGGCCAGAGACCGAUAGCGCACAAGUAGAGUGAUCGAAAGAUGAAAAGCACUUUGGAAAGAGAGUUAAAAAGCACGUGAAAUUGUUAAAAGGGAAGGGAUUGCAACCAGACUUGCUCGCGGUGUUCCGCCGGUCUUCUGACCGGUCUACUCGCCGCGUUGCAGGCCAGCAUCGUCUGGUGCCGCUGGAUAAGACUUGAGGAAUGUAGCUCCCUCGGGAGUGUUAUAGCCUCUUGUGAUGCAGCGAGCGCCGGGCGAGGUCCGCGCUUCGGCUAGGAUGCUGGCGUAAUGGUCGUAAUCCGCCCGUCUUGAAACACGGACCAAGGAGUCUAACAUCUAUGCGAGUGUUCGGGUGUCAAACCCCUACGCGUAAUGAAAGUGAACGGAGGUGAGAACCGCAAGGUGCAUCAUCGACCGAUCCUGAUGUCUUCGGAUGGAUUUGAGUAAGAGCAUAGCUGUUGGGACCCGAAAGAUGGUGAACUAUGCCUGGAUAGGGUGAAGCCAGAGGAAACUCUGGUGGAGGCUCGCAGCGGUUCUGACGUGCAAAUCGAUCGUCAAAUUUGGGUAUAGGGGCGAAAGACUAAUCGAACCAUCUAGUAGCUGGUUCCUGCCGAAGUUUCCCU
RNAcentral lists this ribosomal RNA (924 nucleotides) under Cladosporium herbarum. RNAcentral's name for it is "LSU rRNA". It matches the Rfam family "Eukaryotic large subunit ribosomal RNA", at positions 23 to 973 of the family's 3401-position model. The record is from RNAcentral. Lineage: Eukaryota; Fungi; Ascomycota; Dothideomycetes; Cladosporiales; Cladosporiaceae.